CAGUCGCCGCGGUAAUACGAAGGGUGCAAGCGUUAAUCGGAAUUACUGGGCGUAAAGCGUGCGUAGGUGGUGGUUUAAGUCCGUUGUGAAAGCCCUGGGCUCAACCUGGGAAUUGCAGUGGAUACUGGGUCACUAGAGUGUGGUAGAGGAUAGUGGAAUUUCCGGUGUAGCAGUGAAAUGCGUAGAGAUCGGAAGGAACAUCUGUGGCGAAGGCGACUAUCUGGGCCAACACUGACACUGAGGCACGAAAGCGUGGGGAGCAAACAGGAUUAGAUACCCCCGUAGUCCCUGUCUCUUAUAC
This 301-nucleotide ribosomal RNA is filed under the name uncultured bacterium. RNAcentral describes it as "partial 16S ribosomal RNA". It matches the Rfam family "Bacterial small subunit ribosomal RNA", at positions 509 to 807 of the family's 1533-position model. The record is from RNAcentral.